CCUAGGUUUUAGUCACCCGUACCCCAAACCGACUCAGGUGUUCAGGUAGAGAAUACCAAGGAGAUCGAGAGAAUCGUGGUUAAGGAACUCGGCAAAAUGCCCCCGUAACUUCGGGAGAAGGGGGGCCCGCGGUGUGAAGGGACUUGCUCCUGGAGCACCAUACGGCCGCAGAGACCAGUGGGAAGCGACUGUUUACUAAAAACACAGGUCCGUGCCAAGUCGCAAGACGAUGUAUACGGACUGACGCCUGCCCGGUGCUGGAAGGUUAAGAGGAACGGUUAGCCGCAAGGCGAAGCUGAGAAUUUAAGCCCCAGUAAACGGCGGUGGUAACUAUAACCAUCCUAAGGUAGCGAAAUUCCUUGUCGGGUAAGUUCCGACCUGCACGAAUGGCGUAACGACUUCCCAGCUGUCUCAACCGCGAACUCGGCGAAAUUGCACUACGAGUAAAGAUGCUCGUUACGCGCAGAAGGACGGAAAGACCCCGUGACCUUUACUACAGCUUGGUAUUGGUGUUCGGUGUGGCUUGUGUAGGAUAGGUGGGAGACUGUGAAGCUUGGACGCUAGUUCAGGUGGAGUCAUUGUUGAAAUACCACUCUGGUCACUCUGGAUAUCUAACUUCGAACCGUGAUCCGGUUCAGGGACAGUGCCUGGUGGGUAGUUUAACUGGGGCGGUUGCCUCCUAAAAAGUAACGGAGGCGCCCAAAGGUUCCCUCAACCUGGUUGGCAAUCAGGUGGCGAGUGUAAGUGCACAAGGGAGCUUGACUGUGAGACUGACAAGUCGAGCAGGGACGAAAGUCGGGACUAGUGAUCCGGCAGUGGCUUGUGGAAGCGCUGUCGCUCAACGGAUAAAAGGUACCUCGGGGAUAACAGGCUGAUCUUGCCCAAGAGUCCAUAUCGACGGCAUGGUUUGGCACCUCGAUGUCGGCUCGUCGCAUCCUGGGGCUGGAGUAGGUCCCAAGGGUUGGGCUGUUCGCCCAUUAAAGCGGUACGCGAGCUGGGUUUAGAACGUCGUGAGACAGUUCGGUCCCUAUCCUCUGCGCGCGCAGGAAAUUUGAGAAGAUCUAUCCCUAGUACGAGAGGACCGGGAUGGACGAACCUCUGGUGUGUCAGUUGUUCCGCCAGGAGCACCGCUGAUUAGCUACGUUCGGAACGGAUAACCGCUGAAAGCAUCUAAGCGGGAAGCCGGCUUCAAGAUGAGAUUUCCAUGCCUUCGGGCGAGAGGCUCCCAGCUAGACUACUGGGUUGAUAGGCAGGAUGUGGAAGUGCGGACUAAAGACGCAUGGAGCUGACCUGUACUAAUAAGCCGAUAACUCG
Molecule: ribosomal RNA, 1314 nt
Filed under: metagenome
Description: bacterial LSU rRNA
Rfam family: Bacterial large subunit ribosomal RNA
Source: RNAcentral